Long non-coding RNA from Oncorhynchus tshawytscha (Chinook salmon), 1053 nucleotides. The record is from Ensembl. Lineage: Eukaryota; Metazoa; Chordata; Actinopteri; Salmoniformes; Salmonidae.
GUGGGAGAGGGAAAUGGGGAGGGAUUGGGGUAUUGUGAGAAACACUAAAUUACAAUAUUGCCUCCCUGUGUAAUUGGAGAGAUUAAACGAUAACCUCCAAUAAGAUUAUUUCCUGCAAGACUCGGUUAUACUAUGACAUGAAAAUAAUUCUGAAACUGAAAUUAAUCUCUUUAUAAUUAUUAUAAAUUCUCUCCUUUGGGAUGUAUUGAGGGGGAAAUCUUGGGAAAUUGGUCAUGAGGGAGUUUUCUGGUGAGAUGUGUUUGAAGGAUAUUUCAGAAAUAAACAUGGUAAUGUAAAACUUGACUCAAGGGAAAUAUGGCAUGAAAAAUGGGAUUAUAAAGAAAGAGUGAGAGGAGGCCGAGUUAUUUUGAGCCGUUGGGUUUCCUGCAGGUGAAGAAAUUAAACAAUGUUUUUGGGAACAAUCGCUCCACUGCGAACGGGGCGGGGGGAGAGGAAGAGUAGGAAAGGGAGGAGGGAAGUGUACAAGAAGAGGAGUGAUUAUAGCACAAACACAUAAACAAAAUCAUAUCUAAUAUAUCAUUUAUGAUGUUGACUUGGCUACUUUAUGAGAAGUGUUUAUAUUUAAAAUGUAGCUAUUACUAAAUGUACAAUAACACUGUCAAAAGUAUUGAUUUAUUAUAGGAGGAGAAUUUGGCUUGUGAGUAUAGUAACCCUUGGACACACCUCCCCUCCUCCCAUCUCUCCAGUUUAUAAAAGAAGAGAGAAGGAGAAGAAUAUAACAAAAAUAAUUUCAGGAUUAAUGGUUUACUUAAAGGCAUAACACGAUUUUCAGUUUUCUUAGUGGCCACCGCAGUAUUGAGAUGGCUGUACUGCUGCUUUUGACUGUGCCUCUGACUGUAGCCUCACCUCUCAGAUUAACACACAGGUGACUUAUUGAUCCCUUAUAGACUGCAUCUAUGACCAUAACCCUCAGACUUAACAUGGGCAGAGCUACACUUUUAAAAAAUGAGCAGGAUAGGGUUAUACUAAGAAACAUUUUCAUCUGAAGAACCCUUUUUGGAAGAGAAAGGUAUUUUGUAAGGCAAAGAGUUC